This 378-nucleotide unclassified non-coding RNA is filed under the name uncultured bacterium. RNAcentral's name for it is "contains 16S-23S intergenic spacer region". The record is from RNAcentral.
UCCCCGAUUUCCGGGGCAGUCUCCCUAGAGUUCCCGGCCGAACCGCUGGCAACUAGGGAUAGGGGUUGCGCUCGUUGCGGGACCUAACCAAACAUCUCACGACACGAGCUGACGACGGCCAUGCAGCACCUGUCACCUUGCUCAAUAAAGCACUCUCUGCUUUCGCAGAAAUUCAAGGGAUGUCAAGCCCUGGUAAGGUUCUUCGCUUAUCAUCGAAUUAAAGAACAUCAUCCGCUACUUGUGCGGGUCCCCGUCAAUUCCUUUAUGUUUUAAUCUUGCGAUCGUACUCCACAGGCGGGAUGCUUAACGCGUUAGCUUCGCUACUGAAGGGGUCGAUACCUCCAACAGCUAGCAUCCAUAGUUUACAGCGUGGACUAC